Molecule: long non-coding RNA, 817 nt
Organism: Nyctereutes procyonoides (raccoon dog)
Lineage: Eukaryota; Metazoa; Chordata; Mammalia; Carnivora; Canidae
Exons: 2
Source: RefSeq, a predicted model, not a curated record
GAGCGGCAGGCAGGCACUUUCGGUUUUUGCCCCUCUUCUCUCCAGGCGAGCCAGCCCCAGUGAUCUUGCGCAGGAAACCUGGGCUCUGUAGGCCAAGAGAGCCCGCCCUCCCCCUAACGCCUCUCCGACAUAAAUUGGGGUCCCUCCCAUUUCUUGGGGUUUCUAGGGGCAGGAGAGUCACCAACCAGCUCGCAGCUUGGAAUUGGUUUUAAGUACUUGUCAACUUCUCCAAAACAGUUUGAAUUCCCAACACUUGGCAUUUAUCUUCACAGAAAUAUCCUCCUGGACAGCACUGGGUUAAAGGGGAAGCAGUCUUUCUGGAUCCCCCAUGAGACCCCUUGUCAUGUCUCCCCUAAGUGCAAUUCUUGUUUCUAUGCAAUUUAAUUCUAGUUUCUCCCUUUUCCAUUGCCCCCCCCCCAAUAUUUGUCCAGCAAAAAGCCUGCUCCAUGCAUUAUUGAAGAGGAGGGGGCUCCAUUUGUUCGGGGGCGGGGGGGCGGAGGGAAGAGCGGAUCCUCAGUUUCAGCCUUGGGGAAAAAAUAGCCCUUUUUCUUCAAAGGCAGGAGUCACAUUCCUUUUGCACUUCUGAUAGGAGCUGCUCCAGAGAACACUAGCUGAAAGUAAAUGUCCUUGAGGGCCCCAGCAUUCUCCUCAUCAUUAAUGCACGGGCAUGGUCAUCCAGGCUUCAGAACCUGCCUGGAAGAGAUGCCGGAAGAAGCAUCAAACACCAGGGAAGCAGAGGACACAAGCUUGGAUGUGAAAUAGCAACACCUUAUGCACUGAAGAAUAAUAAAACAAUGUUUUUAAUUACAAAAGAAAA